Molecule: long non-coding RNA, 538 nt
Filed under: Cricetulus griseus (Chinese hamster)
Lineage: Eukaryota; Metazoa; Chordata; Mammalia; Rodentia; Cricetidae
Description: lncRNA (ENSCGRG00000025208.1)
Source: RNAcentral
AUGGAUGUGAACAAGAGGAAAUUUGUCGUGAGGAAUGGGGAGAUAGGAGUUGACAGCUCAGUGUGCAUUUCAUACUGGGCUGUAUGGAACCUGUCUGGUUUGUACAGGAUAGUCUUAGACCUGAAGAAACACUGGCUUGGUUGUAGAAUGCGCCAGCCUUGUGACCCUUCCCUAGCCCUUUCCAAAGAACUACAGAAUCCCAGCGUAGAUCCCGAACCAAGGCAGAGAAACAGGGAAAGUUACAGUGCCGCUCAAAGACCUUCCCACACAGUCUCUCUUCCCACAGCGGUGACAUUCUCCUCCAGGUGCCAUGAAUCAUUUCCGCCCCUUCCCACCUGAGGGAGUGGAAGAGCUCUCUCCGGAUCUGUAACCAGAAUUCCUACUUCACCGAAGAGAAACAAAUCUGGGUCACCUGUUCCUGGCCCUCAUCUCACCAGGUCCCAACUCUUAUCAUCUCCCAGGAACAGCAUGGAGUUGAGCUUUGCUGGAGUGCUCUAGUGUGCAUUUGAAUGAAUGGAAGGCCUCACCAUGAACUGAU